AUUCAGCCUCUUAUUCCUCACACAAAGUAAGCUAUACUGUCAUUUAAAAAAUAUACAAUAAAUAAAGUAUACAAACAAAUUUCAAAUAUUAAUUUCAAAAAUAAAUAAAAAUCAAAAAAGCAUAAAAAAAUGAACCAUCAUGAAUUAUGAUCAGCUCCAAUGGAUGCCAACACGUUCAGCGCGUUUGCAUGAGAUCGAUCUAACGCAGCGGCCCAAAUCCGAUUAUGUCACCCUGUCUCUACUGGGCUUCUAUAUUGUUGGCGGCAUCCUGCUAGCCAUGAGCCUCUUCUCAGUGAUUUGCAUUGUCAUUAUGAUAUGCUGCGGGAGCUUGAUUUUUGGCCCAACCAAUGAGGGUUUGUUAUAGAAUGUAAAUGCAACCCGAGAACCGCAAUUAUCGAUUUGUGCUCUGAUUUUGAUAUUGAAAAAUGUAGACAAGAUUCAUUUUUUAAUAACAAAAUCAGAGUGCGAAAUGUAAUACGGAAUAUGGUCAGGAAUUUGACGGGAGAUACUUGGGAGCGUGAUAUAGUGGAACUGAAGCACUCGAGGAAGUUAUACUGAAGACCGUGGAGGGGAGAAGAAGAGAAGGCGUAUGAUGCUUGAGUUCAAUAUAAAAAACAAAUGAGAGACAGAGAGAUAGAGAAAGUGAGAGCAUAUUUAUUCAAGUUGUAUGCACUAUGUAUGAAUGUGUAUGUGUGUGAAGUAACAUCAAAAUCUGUUCAGUAAACGGUAAUAAAAGUAUCAAAAUUUGUUGUAGAAAGAGCAAAAA
Molecule: long non-coding RNA, 766 nt
Organism: Drosophila mojavensis
Lineage: Eukaryota; Metazoa; Arthropoda; Insecta; Diptera; Drosophilidae
Exons: 2
Source: RefSeq, a predicted model, not a curated record